GACGAACGCUGGCGGCGUGCUUAACACAUGCAAGUCGAACGGAAAGGCCCUGCUUUUGUGGGGUGCUCGAGUGGCGAACGGGUGAGUAACACGUGAGUAACCUGCCCUUGACUUUGGGAUAACUUCAGGAAACUGGGGCUAAUACCGGAUAGGAUCUCCUGCUGCAUGGUGGGGGUUGGAAAGUUUCGGCGGUUGGUGAUGGAGUCGCGGCUUAUCAGCUUGUUGGUGGGGUAGUGGCUUACCAAGGCUUUGACGGGUAGCCGGCCUGAGAGGGUGACCGGCCACAUUGGGACUGAGAUACGGCACAGACUCCUACGGGAGGCAGCAGUGGGGAAUAGUGCACAAUGGGCGGAAGCCUGAUGCAGCAACGCCGCGUGCGGGAUGACGGCCUUCGGGUUGUAAACCGCUUUCGCCUGUGACGAAGCGUGAGUGACGGUAAUGGGUAAAGAAGCACCGGCUAACUACGUG
RNAcentral lists this ribosomal RNA (468 nucleotides) under uncultured bacterium. RNAcentral describes it as "partial 16S ribosomal RNA". It matches the Rfam family "Bacterial small subunit ribosomal RNA", at positions 28 to 507 of the family's 1533-position model. The record is from RNAcentral.